CGGACGGGUGAGUAACGCGUGAGAAUCUGCCCUUAGGACGGGGACAACAGCUGGAAACGGCUGCUAAUACCCGAUGUGCCGAGAGGUGAAACAUUUUAUGGCCUGAGGAUGAGCUCGCGUCUGAUUAGCUAGUUGGUGGGGUAAGGGCCUACCAAGGCGACGAUCAGUAGCUGGUCUGAGAGGAUGAUCAGCCACACUGGGACUGAGACACGGCCCAGACUCCUACGGGAGGCAGCAGUGGGGAAUUUUCCGCAAUGGGCGCAAGCCUGACGGAGCAAGACCGCGUGCGGGAGGACGGCCUAUUGGUUGUAAACCGCUUUUGAUAGGGAAGAAGUUCUGACGGUACCUAUCGAAUCAGCAUCGGCUAACUCCGUGCCAGCAGCCGCGGUAAUACGGAGGAUGCAAGCGUUAUCCGGAAUUAUUGGGCGUAAAGCGUCCGUAGGUGGUUGUUCAAGUCUGCUGUUAAAGCGUGCGGCUUAACCGCAUACCAGCAGUGGAAACUGGGCGACUAGAGUGCGGUAGGGGUCAGGGGAAUUCCCAGUGUAGCGGUGAAAUGCGUAGAUAUUGGGAAGAACACCGGUGGCGAAAGCGCCUGACUGGACCUGCACUGACACUGAGGGACGAAAGCUAGGGGAGCGAAAGGGAUUAGAUACCCCUGUAGUC
RNAcentral lists this ribosomal RNA (663 nucleotides) under uncultured cyanobacterium. RNAcentral describes it as "bacterial SSU rRNA". It matches the Rfam family "Bacterial small subunit ribosomal RNA", at positions 99 to 795 of the family's 1533-position model. The record is from RNAcentral. Lineage: Bacteria; Bacillati; Cyanobacteriota.